This 253-nucleotide ribosomal RNA is filed under the name uncultured bacterium. Its description in RNAcentral is "partial 16S ribosomal RNA". It matches the Rfam family "Bacterial small subunit ribosomal RNA", at positions 524 to 776 of the family's 1533-position model. The record is from RNAcentral.
UACGUAGGCAGCGAGCGUUGUUCGGAGUUAUUGGGCGUAAAGAGCUCGUAGGCGGUUUGUCGCGUCUGCUGUGAAAACUCGGGGCUUAACCCCGGGCCUGCAGUGGGUACGGGCAGACUAGAGUCCGGUAGGGGAGACUGGAAUUCCUGGUGUAGCGGUGAAAUGCGCAGAUAUCAGGAGGAACACCGGUGGCGAAGGCGGGUCUCUGGGCCGUAACUGACGCUGAGGAGCGAAAGCGUGGGGAGCGAACAGG